UCUUUAGUUUUUAAUUUAAGAUCGGGCCUGCCCAUUGAUUAAUAAAUUAAAAGGCUGCGGUAUUUUAACUGUACGAAGGUAGCAUAAUCACUUGUCUUUUAAUUGGAGGCUAGAAUGAAUGGUUUGAUGAAAAAUAAACUUUCUUUUUUCAAUUAUAAUUGAAUUUAAUUUUUUAGUUAAAAAGCUAAAAUUUUUUUAUAGGACGAGAAGACCCUGUAGAAGUUUACUUAAUUAAUAAUUUUUUAUUUUAUGAUUUUAAAAUAAUUUUUUAUAUAUUUAAGUUUUGUUGGGGUGACAUUAAAAUUUAUUUAACUUUUAUUAAUUUUUUCAUUAAUUAGUGUUUUUUUGAUCCAAAAAUUUUGAUUAUAAGUUUAACUUACCUUAGGGAUAACAGCGUAAUUUUUUCGGAGAGAUCAUAUU
Molecule: ribosomal RNA, 420 nt
Filed under: Tenagogonus australiensis
Lineage: Eukaryota; Metazoa; Arthropoda; Insecta; Hemiptera; Gerridae
Description: partial 16S large subunit ribosomal RNA
Source: RNAcentral